This 414-nucleotide unclassified non-coding RNA is filed under the name Hevea brasiliensis (rubber tree). Lineage: Eukaryota; Viridiplantae; Streptophyta; Magnoliopsida; Malpighiales; Euphorbiaceae. The record is from RNAcentral.
AUACAAGAUUAAUCGUAACAAACUUAUUAAAGAAAUGCCCCAAUUUCAACAAAGUCAUCACUAAGUGGAACUAUAUUUAACAUUUAAUAAUUCACUCAGAGGACCUGUAAGCUACAGCUGAAUUAUCUAGUCAUAGUCACGCUAUAAAACCUAGUAAUUGCCAAAUUCCAAAUUAACAUCCUCUAUUUCUUUUCAAUGCAUCCUGAGCAGACCCAGAUGCUGAGGUUGUAGCGCUCUCGCCAAGGACUUUAAUGGCUACAAAUAGGUACAUUUGUGAGGUUUGUCAUAAAGGAUUCCAGAGAGAUCAGAAUCUUCAGCUCCACAGGAGAGGACACAACUUGCCCUGGAAACUCAAGCAAAGGCCAAACACACAGGUUAAGAAGAGAGUGUAUGUCUGCCCUGAGCCAACUUGUG